AUGAGCAGCGAGACGAGCAAGCGAGAUCAUGCACGGGAGCUCCUCGCCGCCGACAGGAAGCUGAUGACCGUGGCCCGUUCGGCGCGACGGCGCCGGCUGGAGCUCCGGCGGCUGGGACGUACGGCGUCCGCGGCCGCGGAGGACGAGGGUGCGAAGCGGGUGCGGCCGGCGCCGGACAGCUCCUCGGACUCGUCUGACUCCGCGAAGGUGGUGCCGGUGGCGUCUAGGUGUUCGGCGUGCGUGUCGCACGGGGCGGUGUCCGUGAUCGGGCGCCGGCGGGAGAUGGAGGACGCGGUGGCCGUCGCCGCGCCGUUCCUGGCCGAGACGGCGGGGGUGGAGGGCAGCGGCGACGUGGAGUACGGGGCAGGGGACGAGGGCUUCUUCGCGGUGUACGACGGGCACGGCGGGUCGCGCGUGGCGGAGGCGUGCCGGCUGCGGAUGCACCUGGUGCUCGCGGAGGAGGUGCGGCUUCGUCGUCUGCGGCCCGGGGGCGAAGGGCAGCGUCAGGCCGAGGACGACGAGGACGGUGCGCGGUGGAAGGAGGCCAUGACGGCCUGCUUCGCCCGGGUGGACGGCGAGGUCGGCGUCGACGACGGGACCGACACCGGCGAGCAGACGGUGGGCUCCACCGCCGUCGUGGCCGUCGUGGGCCCGCGCCGCAUCGUCGUCGCGAACUGCGGCGACUCCCGCGCCGUGCUCUCUCGCGGCGGCGUCCCCGUGCCGCUCUCCUCCGACCACAAGCCAGACCGACCUGACGAAAUGGAAAGAGUAGAAGCAGCUGGUGGCAAGGUCAUUAACUGGAAUGGACACCGUAUCCUGGGAGUGCUCGCAACUUCGAGGUCAAUCGGAGACUAUUACCUGAAGCCAUAUGUGAUAGCGGAACCAGAAGUCACCGUCAUGGACCGGACGGACAAAGACGAGUUCCUCAUACUGGCAAGCGACGGCCUGUGGGAUGUGGUGUCCAAUGAUAUCGCCUGCAAGAUCGCGAGAAAUUGCCUAAGUGGGCGUGCGGCCUCCAAGUACCCCGAGUCCGUCUCCGGGAGCACGGCGGCCGACGCCGCGGCGCUGCUGGUGGAGCUCGCCAUGGCACGCGGCAGCAAGGACAACAUCAGCGUCGUCGUGGUCGAGUUGCGGCGACUGAAGAGUAGGACAGCGGCGGUGAUCAAAGAAAACCGCAGGUGGUAG
This 1185-nucleotide ribosomal RNA is filed under the name Triticum aestivum (bread wheat). RNAcentral describes it as "partial small subunit ribosomal RNA". Lineage: Eukaryota; Viridiplantae; Streptophyta; Magnoliopsida; Poales; Poaceae. The record is from RNAcentral.